Molecule: ribosomal RNA, 253 nt
Filed under: uncultured bacterium
Lineage: Bacteria
Description: partial 16S ribosomal RNA
Rfam family: Bacterial small subunit ribosomal RNA
Source: RNAcentral
UACGUAGGGGGCAAGCGUUGUCCGGAUUCAUUGGGCGUAAAGAGCGUGUAUGCGGCCAGGUAGGUCGGUUGUGAAAACUGGAGGCUCAACCUUCAGAGGUCGACCGAAACCAUCUGGCUAGAGUCCGGGAGAGGAGAGUGGAAUUCCUGGUGUAGCGGUGAAAUGCGCAGAUAUCAGGAAGAACACCCGUGGCGAAAGCGGCUCUCUGGAACGGUACUGACGCUGAGACGCGAAAGCGUGGGGAGCGAACAGG